UAGCUCCUACGGGGGGCAGCAGUAGGGAAUAUUGCUCAAUGGGGGAAACCCUGAAGCAGCAGCGCCGCGUGGAGGAUGAAGGUUUUAGGAUUGUAAACUCCUUUUGUGAGAGAAGAUAAUGACGGUAUCUCACGAAUAAGCACCGGCUAACUCCGUGCCAGCAGCCGCGGUAAUACGGAGGGUGCAAGCGUUACUCGGAAUCGCUGGGCGUAAAGAGUGCGCAGGCGGGCUUGUAAGUCAGAUGUGAAAUCCUGUAGCUUAACUACAGUACUGCAUUUGAAACUAUGCGUCUAGAGUGUGGGAGG
RNAcentral lists this ribosomal RNA (305 nucleotides) under uncultured bacterium. RNAcentral's name for it is "bacterial SSU rRNA". It matches the Rfam family "Bacterial small subunit ribosomal RNA", at positions 333 to 655 of the family's 1533-position model. The record is from RNAcentral.